GCAAGUCGAACGAAGUCUUCGGACUUAGUGGCGGACGGGUGAGUAACACGUGGGAACGUGCCUUUAGGUUCGGAAUAACUCAGGGAAACUUGUGCUAAUACCGAAUGUGCCCUUCGGGGGAAAGAUUUAUCGCCUUUAGAGCGGCCCGCGUCUGAUUAGCUAGUUGGUGAGGUAAAGGCUCACCAAGGCGGCGAUCAGUAGCUGGUCUGAGAGGAUGAUCAGCCACAUUGGGACUGAGACACGGCCCAAACUCCUACGGGAGGCAGCAGUGGGGAAUCUUGCGCAAUGGGCGAAAGCCUGACGCAGCCAUGCCGCGUGAAUGAUGAAGGUCUUAGGAUUGUAAAAUUCUUUCACCGGGGACGAUAAUGACGGUACCCGGAGAAGAAGCCCCGGCUAACUUCGUGCCAGCAGCCGCGGUAAUACGAAGGGGGCUAGCGUUGCUCGGAAUUACUGGGCGUAAAGGGAGCGUAGGCGGACAUUUAAGUCAGGGGUGAAAUCCCGGGGCUCAACCUCGGAAUUGCCUUUGAUACUGGGUGUCUUGAGUGUGAGAGAGGUAUGUGGAACUCCGAGUGUAGAGGUGAAAUUCGUAGAUAUUCGGAAGAACACCAG
Molecule: ribosomal RNA, 609 nt
Filed under: uncultured bacterium
Lineage: Bacteria
Description: bacterial SSU rRNA
Rfam family: Bacterial small subunit ribosomal RNA
Source: RNAcentral